Molecule: ribosomal RNA, 411 nt
Filed under: uncultured bacterium
Lineage: Bacteria
Description: bacterial SSU rRNA
Rfam family: Bacterial small subunit ribosomal RNA
Source: RNAcentral
GUGCCAGCCGCCGCGGUAAUACGGAGGGUGCGAGCGUUAAUCGGAAUUACUGGGCGUAAAGCGUACGCAGGCGGUUUGUUAAGCGAGAUGUGAAAGCCCCGGGCUCAACCUGGGAACUGCAUUUCGAACUGGCAAACUAGAGUGUGAUAGAGGGUGGUAGAAUUUCAGGUGUAGCGGUGAAAUGCGUAGAGAUCUGAAGGAAUACCGAUGGCGAAGGCAGCCACCUGGGUCAACACUGACGCUCAUGUACGAAAGCGUGGGGAGCAAACGGGAUUAGAUACCCCGGUAGUCCACGCCGUAAACGAUGUCUACUAGAAGCUCGGAGCCUCGGUUCUGUUUUUCAAAGCUAACGCAUUAAGUAGACCGCCUGGGGAGUACGGCCGCAAGGUUAAAACUCAAAUAAAUUGACGG